RNAcentral lists this ribosomal RNA (465 nucleotides) under Vreelandella stevensii. RNAcentral describes it as "partial 16S ribosomal RNA". It matches the Rfam family "Bacterial small subunit ribosomal RNA", at positions 338 to 795 of the family's 1533-position model. The record is from RNAcentral. Lineage: Bacteria; Pseudomonadati; Pseudomonadota; Gammaproteobacteria; Oceanospirillales; Halomonadaceae.
CCUACGGGUGGCAGCAGUGGGGAAUAUUGGACAAUGGGGGCAACCCUGAUCCAGCCAUGCCGCGUGUGUGAAGAAGGCCCUCGGGUUGUAAAGCACUUUCAGUGAGGAAGAACGCCUGGUGGUUAAUACCCAUCAGGAAAGACAUCACUCACAGAAGAAGCACCGGCUAACUCCGUGCCAGCAGCCGCGGUAAUACGGAGGGUGCGAGCGUUAAUCGGAAUUACUGGGCGUAAAGCGCGCGUAGGUGGCUUGAUAAGCCGGUUGUGAAAGCCCCGGGCUCAACCUGGGAACGGCAUCCGGAACUGUCAAGCUAGAGUGCAGGAGAGGAAGGUAGAAUUCCCGGUGUAGCGGUGAAAUGCGUAGAGAUCGGGAGGAAUACCAGUGGCGAAGGCGACCUUCUGGACUGACACUGACACUGAGGUGCGAAAGCGUGGGUAGCAAACAGGAUUAGAUACCCCUGUAGUC